This 258-nucleotide non-coding RNA is filed under the name Halobacillus karajensis. Its description in RNAcentral is "T-box sequence". It matches the Rfam family "T-box leader". From Rfam's summary of the family: Uncharged tRNA acts as the effector for transcription antitermination of genes in the T-box leader family. Lineage: Bacteria; Bacillati; Bacillota; Bacilli; Caryophanales; Bacillaceae. The record is from RNAcentral.
GUAAAGGCGAUGAAGAGAACAGUAGCUGGAAAGAAUCCUUCACAGAGAGCUCCAGAAGGUGAAAAGGAGCAGGGAAUUUUUUAGUGAACCAAGCCUCUGAGCUUCACACGGGAACUAGACAGGGGAUCGUGUGACGGGAGCUCCCGUUAUAGAGAUAAGGUAUACCGAAUCAGAAUUGGCGUACCUGAUGAGAUUAAUAUGGUGACAUAUUAAUAAACUGGGGUGGCACCGCGACGAAUGAAUAACCUCGCCCCCAAG